AUAUCAAUAAGCGGAGGAAAAGAAACCAACAGGGAUUGCCUCAGUAACGGCGAGUGAAGCGGCAACAGCUCAAAUUUGAAAUCUGGCUCUUUUUUAGAGCCCGAGUUGUAAUUUGUAGAGGAUGCUUCGGCGUCGGCUCCGGUCUAAGUUCCUUGGAACAGGACGUCACAGAGGGUGAGAAUCCCGUACCUGACCUGGAGUCCGCUGCGUACGACACAUGAUCACAGAGUCGAGUUGUUUGGGAUUGCAGCUCUAAGCGGGUGGUAAAUUUCAUCGAAAGCUAAAUAUCGACGAGAGACCGAUAGCGCACAAGUA
Molecule: ribosomal RNA, 315 nt
Filed under: uncultured eukaryote
Lineage: Eukaryota
Description: partial large subunit ribosomal RNA
Rfam family: Eukaryotic large subunit ribosomal RNA
Source: RNAcentral